CGCCUUAGUAAGGAUACUCUUACACACACACACACACACACACACACACACACACACACACACACCCUCUACUCAUCUACUAAGAGGAAGGAGAAAACCAAUGGAAAAAGAGUCCCAGUUCUCUGGUCAGCAUUCCCGCAGGCUGCACGCAGUGAUUCUGGUUAGGCUGUAAGACACCUUUCAUUCCGUAGCCUAGCGCCAAGCGUGGCCCCUGUGGAAGGAAAAAGGCAGCUACCUGGGGGUCAGCUUCGGCGGAGGCAGCUGCCCAGCUGCACUGGCGUCGGGCGUGGCGAAAGCGAGGAAGCGCUAAAACAGCCAGACAGAGGCAGCCGCAGCUGAGGUGGCAGAGGCAGCAAAAGCCGCGGUGGCAAGGGCAGCAACAGCAGCAGGAGCCACAGCAGGCGGCAAGCAGGCAGUCCCCUGGAUGUUGAAUACGGGCAGUACUCUCCUGUCAGAGCCGAGACGAAGGAAGACUAGAGCAGAAAACACUGGGAGUGGAGGGAGUUGGGGGAGUCGUAGUCGUGGUGGAGAGGGCGGGUUGACUCCUUCUUCCUUUUCACUACUUCACUCUAUCCCAUACAUCAUUCUCGGUACUCAUUCCCCAUAGCACUCUCCCUCCACCCCCAUCCUCAUCCCCAUCACACACACACACACACACACACACACACACACGCCUUCUUUUUUCUCCCCUUCCCUUCUCACCACUCCUAGAAGCUCCCGUUUGGAAAUGGAGACAAGCAACUCUCAUCAGGACUCAUCAGCAUCCCACAGUCCUGAAGAGAUGAACUAAGGGGGAGGCAGGAGGAGUUCUCUCUUCCCUUAAGUGGUAGAUAGGAAGAUUUGAAAGAAGUACGGUCAUUUCCCCCGCUACUGAGUGUAAACAGCCUUUCCCUCAAAGAGGAAGUAGUGAAGAUAAGGGAGAGGAAGGACUGGAGGUUGCAAGUUACUGCUCUUCCUUGCACUCACUCAGCCAACUCUCCCGGAAAAGGGGACUGAGCGCUUCGCUGGAGUUAUUUGUAAAUAAUAGUGACGACACAGUAUCUUGUUUAUAUGGACAAGAACAUUAUUGAGGAGGCCUUUGCUGCUGAUGGAUUGCACUAGUUCUUAGUGCAAUCGCCUGGAUCCAGGGGCCUGAGAAGCAGCAGCAGCCCCAGUCGCAGCAGCAGUAGCAGUCUUGGUAUUGAGUAAGGGACUCAGAGCCCCCACCCUUCUGAAGCCAAUGCACCUCCUUAAAAAGGGCCACUCGGGGAAGUAAAGCUACCAGCCAGACGCAGCGAAACAACACAGACAGGCAAACCAGCAACGACACAAACUAAAUAGGAAAUCCAACUCAACUGCGUUUGUUUCCAAAAAAUCAUAAACACCCAAGGACAGUAAAAUGAGCUCUCCUUCUUUCUUCCCUGAGAAGAGCACGAUGUUUCUCCAUUCCACAUCCCUUUCUUACCUCCUUUUCCCCUCCUCAAAGAAAAACUAACUCAAUUAGAAAAGGAAUAAAGAAAUAAAAAUCACAGCUACGUGUAUGACCAAGUAUAUUCUC
RNAcentral lists this long non-coding RNA (1537 nucleotides) under Sarcophilus harrisii (Tasmanian devil). RNAcentral describes it as "lncRNA (ENSSHAG00000030312.1)". Lineage: Eukaryota; Metazoa; Chordata; Mammalia; Dasyuromorphia; Dasyuridae. The record is from RNAcentral.